RNAcentral lists this ribosomal RNA (253 nucleotides) under uncultured bacterium. Its description in RNAcentral is "partial 16S ribosomal RNA". It matches the Rfam family "Bacterial small subunit ribosomal RNA", at positions 524 to 776 of the family's 1533-position model. The record is from RNAcentral.
UACGGAGGGUGCAAACGUUGCUCGGAAUCAUUGGGCGUAAAGCGCACGUAGGCGGUCCAGCAAGUCGGGUGUGAAAGCCCUCGGCUUAACCGAGGAAGUGCAUUCGAAACUACUGGGCUUGAAUACUGAAGAGGAUCGCGGAAUUCCCGGUGUAGAGGUGAAAUUCGUAGAUAUCGGGAGGAACACCGGUGGCGAAGGCGGCGAUCUGGGUCGAUACUGACGCUGAGGUGCGAAAGCGUGGGGAGCAAACAGG